GACGAACGCUGGCGGCGUGCUUAACACAUGCAAGUCGAACGGAAAGGCCCUGCUUUUGUGGGGUGCUCGAGUGGCGAACGGGUGAGUAACACGUGAGUCACCUGCCCUUGACUUUGGGAUAACUUCAGGAAACUGGGGCUACUACCGGCUAGGAGCUCCUGCUGCAUGGUGGGGGUUGGAACGUUUCGGCGGAUGGGGAUGGACUCGCGGCUUAUCAGCUUGUUGGUGGGGUAGUGGCUUACCAAGGCUUUGACGGAUAGCCGGCCUGAGAGGGUGACCGGCGACAUGGGUACUGAGAGACGGCCCAGACGCCAACGGGAGGCAGCAGGGGGGAAUAUGGCACAAUGGGCGGAAGCCUGAUGCAGCAACGCCGCGUGCGGGAUGACGGCCUUCGGGCUGUAAACCGCUUUCGCCUGUGACGAAGCGUGAGUGACGGUAAUGGGUAAAGAAGCACCGGCUAACUACGUG
RNAcentral lists this ribosomal RNA (468 nucleotides) under uncultured bacterium. Its description in RNAcentral is "partial 16S ribosomal RNA". It matches the Rfam family "Bacterial small subunit ribosomal RNA", at positions 28 to 507 of the family's 1533-position model. The record is from RNAcentral.